Phrynosoma platyrhinos (Desert horned lizard) is the source of this 72-nucleotide non-coding RNA. NCBI's taxonomy places the organism in Eukaryota, Metazoa, Chordata, Lepidosauria, Squamata, Phrynosomatidae. The record is from the annotation of a GenBank genome assembly.
GCCAGCGUGGCAUAAUGGUUUCAGUGUUGGACUACGACUCUGGAGACAAAGGUUCAAUUCCUAACUCAGCCA